This 656-nucleotide long non-coding RNA is filed under the name Parus major (Great Tit). RNAcentral's name for it is "lncRNA (ENSPMJG00000008182.1)". Lineage: Eukaryota; Metazoa; Chordata; Aves; Passeriformes; Paridae. The record is from RNAcentral.
CUUCUGUGUGGUGCCAAGUACAUCAAAACAGCAAGGGAAAACUGGAAAUCCAGCAGGAAAUGUAAAAUAAGCAGGUCCAAGCAGGACAUUAAAACUUUUGAGAUGCUGAUUCAAGGAAAGAAGGGAGAUGAAGUGGGCUGUCAGCUGCUGCACAGUGGGGAGAUGGUGACUGACUCCGAGGCACACAUAAGCAAGACAAAACAUAAUCUCACCUACUCCCACCUAACCUAAAGGUGGAAGCUGCAGGAUAAACCUGAAUUUACUGAGCCUGGGACUGAAAGAUGAAAGCUGAGUCAGGUUUGGCUGAAUCAGCAGCUACUAAAUCCAGGAGCCACUGGUUGUGGAGAUUGUUCAGGACAAACUCACAUGGAUGUACAUGCAGGGCAUUCUGUUCUUCAUGUCAAAAGUAUGAAGAAGGACAUACGUACUUAUUUGUGCCUCAUCUGUUUCACACCUCCUGCUGCCAAUGUGGUGCUUGGGUUCCUGAAACAAAACAAUGCGACAGUUCUGUGCUACAUCUGCUAACAUCAUUCCCUGUGGCCUCCAUAAUGGGAGAGAAAAUGAAGUUAAGAGCCUUCAAACAGCUCAUUGCAGGACAGCUGAGCAAACAUUCUUUCCUGGACAUAGUUUAUGAAAGAGGACAAGGCAACUUGUAG